RNAcentral lists this small RNA (544 nucleotides) under Pan troglodytes (chimpanzee). RNAcentral's name for it is "processed transcript". Lineage: Eukaryota; Metazoa; Chordata; Mammalia; Primates; Hominidae. The record is from RNAcentral.
AAACACGCAGGGAGGGCACCCCGAGUGUCGCCGCUGAGGGCGUUUCUCUAAGCGCUUCUCUGAGCCCUGCUGCUGAAGGCCCCACCCGACCCCUGGCGGGGGCUGGGCUGCGGGCCUUGGGGCGGUGUCCCCCGUGAAUGUUCAGGAACAGAAAUGAAAAAAAGUCGCUGGCAGAGUAGAAGAAGACAUGGGAGAAGAAGCCACCAGCAGAACCCUUGGUUCAGACUCCGUGAUUCUGAAGACAGGUCUGACUCCCGGGCAGCACAGCCCGCUCACGAUUCCAGCCACGGUGAUGACGAGUCUCCGUCAACCUCGUCUGGCACAGCUGGGACCUCCUCUGUGCCAGAGCUACCUGGGUUUUACUUUGACCCUGAAAAGAAACGCUACUUCCGCUUGCUCCCUGGACAUAACAACUGCAACCCCCUGACGAAAGAGAGCAUCCGGCAGAAGGAGAUGGAGAGCAAGAGACUGCGGCUGCUCCAGGAAGAAGACAGACGGAAAAAGAUUGCCAGGAUGGGAUUUAAUGCAUCUUCCAUGCUACGAA